ACUUGGUGAAAUUCCUCUGGGAUUUUGAGACACCAAAGCAAUCUCUCUAGUUCUGAAAAGACUGAAUUUGCAGCAUCUGCUGAAAUGAAGAAUAAUCAAUGUUCACCAGCGGAAAUUGAAAAGCAAGGAGAUGGGGAAGAUUCCAAGGACCCACUCAAGUUCCUGGUGUUUUUGUGAAUGUUCUGUGUUUUAAACAUGCUUUUGUUUAGGGGAAGGCAUGACCUGAGCAAAUUGGGAUAAAGAAGAGGUUGAAAAUGCAUAUGGCUUAGGCAGAGUUAGGAGUUUUAGAGAAAAUACCAGGGUAACUUUUAGAGUCUUGGCUUAAGGCAGAAGCUUCUGAAAGAGUGACAGUUGCCUUCCUCUAUUUUUAUUAAUAUAUAGGUGUGUUGCCAUUAUUACCUACCAGAAAGAGCAUAAUAUUAAUCAAAUCAAAUUACAUGAGUCCUACAGUAGAAAUACUGCAGACAUUUACUAUUAUAUUAAAAUUUAAUUAAUGGUAAGACUUUUCAAGGUAGUAGUAGUUAUAUGCAGCUCUUUGGCUCAAAGUCAAAGUAUGAUAUACACAGAAUAGAAACGAUGCUGGACUGCCAGAAAAUCUGCCUCUCACUCCCACUCCCCCAAAAUCUAUUAGGAACGAGCAUUUACUGUUAUUAUUUCAAGUAUUUAUGCAAAGUAAUUUAAAAUGAUUUAAACAUCCCAUAUAUUAAUCAAAUUUAAUAAUAAGUUAGAUUCUGAAACAUUUGUGCUAUUAACAACAGUCAGAAAAAUAACAUUAUUUCAUUGGUAUUAAAUGAGGCAA
Rhinopithecus roxellana (golden snub-nosed monkey) is the source of this 799-nucleotide long non-coding RNA. RefSeq lists it as uncharacterized. The record is from RefSeq and is a predicted model, not a curated record. The transcript is spliced from 3 exons. NCBI's taxonomy places the organism in Eukaryota, Metazoa, Chordata, Mammalia, Primates, Cercopithecidae.